Molecule: long non-coding RNA, 551 nt
Organism: Mytilus californianus (California mussel)
Lineage: Eukaryota; Metazoa; Mollusca; Bivalvia; Mytilida; Mytilidae
Exons: 3
Source: RefSeq, a predicted model, not a curated record
UUAAGCUGUGUUUUAAUUGAAAAUAACUUUUUUCUUUACUUUGUUUUUCAGGAAGAUUUACAAACAUAAAUGCAAAUUGGCCAGGUUGUUGUCAUGAUUCCCAUGUUUUCCGAACAUCACAGGUGUGUGCUCACAUGGAGAGAAAUGGCAAUUGGGAAAAUGGUAUCUUACUUGGUGAUAGUGGCUAUCCCUGCAGGUCUUUUUUAAUGACACCUUUUCUGAAUCCCAUUGAACAACACCAUAGAAGGUACAACAGAUGUCAUGCGGUCACAAGAUCUGUUAUAGAAAGGACAUUUGGCAGAUGGAAGAGAAGGUUCCACAUAUUGCAUUCUGAAAUUCGUAUGGAUCCCAAAAAGGUAACCAAAAUAGUUAUGGUUUGUGGCAUUCUUCACAACAUCUGCAUACAACUUAAUGAACCAGAUGUAGCAGCGGAAGAGCCUGUUAAUGAGGAUGUAGAAAAUGGAAUAAACUACAAUGGACAACAGGAUGGAAGAGGGAUUAGGGAACACAUUGCUGGAACUUAUUUUAACCGUCAUUAAAGUUAAAGCAUC